AUACUGACCUGGCAGGGAAGAUACCAUGAUCAUGAAGGUAGUUUUCCCAGGGCACUCUGGAUGUGCCGACCCCUGCGAUUUCCCCAAAUGUGGGAAACUCAACUGCAUUUGUGGUAGUGGGGGACUGUGUUCGCACUCUUCCCUG
RNAcentral lists this small nuclear RNA (145 nucleotides) under Echinops telfairi (small Madagascar hedgehog). Its description in RNAcentral is "U1 spliceosomal RNA (ENSETEG00000020480.1)". It matches the Rfam family "U1 spliceosomal RNA". From Rfam's summary of the family: U1 is a small nuclear RNA (snRNA) component of the spliceosome (involved in pre-mRNA splicing). The record is from RNAcentral. Lineage: Eukaryota; Metazoa; Chordata; Mammalia; Afrosoricida; Tenrecidae.